Molecule: long non-coding RNA, 1502 nt
Organism: Nerophis ophidion (straightnose pipefish)
Lineage: Eukaryota; Metazoa; Chordata; Actinopteri; Syngnathiformes; Syngnathidae
Exons: 6
Source: RefSeq, a predicted model, not a curated record
UUUUUCACCCAAACUUAUGGCUUGGAUUGAGAUAUGCUUUUCUUUCCCAUUGGUCUGAAAACUAUUAGAAGGAAGACAUCUCUCAAGAGUAAAAACUUAUUGCUUAAUUGCCUCAGCUACCACUACUUCCGGAGUCGUUUGUUGACCUAACUGAGCUGACCAAUCAGAUUUUAGCUAAGAAAGACAAUGGCAGCAGUAUCGUGUUCUCUGAUUGGAGGGCACAAAUUGGUGGCGGAAAUGCACAAAAAAAUGGACAAAAAAAAGGAACCGCAUUGUUCUCGAAGCUCGAACGAUUUCGUUGACAUAUUUGCUCUUUUUUUCAAGCCAAUUGGAGAAAAAACACAAUUAAAAAAAAAAAAAGGAAUCACUAUUAAUUUAAUUAGCAACUGAUGAACCGAAUGAAAGAAAAAGGGAAUGAGUGUUGUCUGAUGAUUGACUUGAAUGACUUCAUCCCCGGCGUGGAUCUUCUUACAGCGGUCGGCCGGAGACUAUAGAAGCCCAGAAGAAAAUGCAGGAAAACAAAACCCUGUGCAGAGCCACCGUGCUGAGUCAAAGGAAAGUGGUCCGAACUACUGGGCCGCACCGCUUCGGCUGCCAAAACAAUGAAUGUAUCCACCCUCUGACCUCCAAACAAACACGCCUCGUGCAGGGUCUUCAUUUCAUGAAAAGAGAGUUUUGCAGUCUUCCCAGACCUCCAGGUGCACACUGCUAAAUUAUGCAAGGAUAACAUCUCUGAUCUGCUGCAAUAUAUGUAAUUCCAAAAAAAAAUAAGCGACAUCUCUGCAUCAUCGUAUCCUCACCCACCUUUCAUCCAGUCCACCACCUGGCCGGCGGUCCACUUGCUGACCGGCUCCAUCACCAGCGCCAUGGGGCAAACUUUCACCCCCUUUCUUCAAGAAAAACCGAUCUCCGAGGGCUGGCCCCAGAAGACCCCCCUCUCCACCAGCGCCACCACCCUCCUCCGGGGCCAGCUCGUCUGCAUGCUGCCUCUCCCCUUCGGUCCUUCCUCUGCGCUUCUGUACGCCGUCACGAGCAAGUGGCAACGGGAUAUGUCGAGGCUUGUGUGUGGAGGUGUGUGCGCGCGCCCGGAUGGGUAAGUCACAGCAUCUCUCUCUCACUCUCUGGUGAACGUGUGCACGCUCCCCGUGGGUGGCUCCACGUACAUCAUGACUUCAAGGCGAUCGUGUAGAUAUGAUGGAGGCAACGUAUGCGACAGGGAAACACUCUUUUAUUUUAUUUUUGCUUCAGUGUGGGGAAAAAUGAUUCCUCAGCUGAUUUCCUCCUCCUGCUUUAUCCCACCCCUCAAUUAUUUCAAGAGGCAGUUGCUCCUUGUGGACUUCCAUCCUUUAGGGCUCUAUUAAAAAGGUCCCAUAUUAUAGUAUUUUCCAACAAUUUUUAAUAGGACUCAGGGGUUCCACAAUAGUGUGGUGUCCAAAAUUGUUCCUAUAUGUUGGAAUCCAGACAGUUCAGAAGUGUUUUACUCAAACAAGCCCUACUGGGGA